CUGCAGCCAAUUAAGCCAACUGAGUUCCCUUCCUUAUGGGGGCCCCAGUGUGCAGUCGCUGCAAACAGCAGCUUCCGGCCGGGCGCGGUGGCUCAAGCCUGUAAUCCUAGCACUUUGGGAGGUCGAGACGGGC
Small nucleolar RNA from Macaca fascicularis (crab-eating macaque), 133 nucleotides. Its record names the gene SNORA70. It matches the Rfam family "Small nucleolar RNA SNORA70". From Rfam's summary of the family: snoRNA U70 seems to be exclusive to mammals and is a member of the H/ACA class of snoRNA which contain H (ANANNA) and ACA box motifs. H/ACA box snoRNAs are involved in the conversion of uridines to pseudouridines (5-ribosyluracil) a constituent of structural RNAs (transfer, ribosomal, small nuclear, and small nucleolar). The record is from Ensembl. NCBI's taxonomy places the organism in Eukaryota, Metazoa, Chordata, Mammalia, Primates, Cercopithecidae.